Molecule: ribosomal RNA, 497 nt
Filed under: uncultured bacterium
Lineage: Bacteria
Description: partial 16S ribosomal RNA
Rfam family: Bacterial small subunit ribosomal RNA
Source: RNAcentral
AGUGAACGCUGGCGGCGUGCCUAAUACAUGCAAGUCGAACGCGAAAGUCCUUCGGGAUGAGUAAAGUGGCGCACGGGUGAGUAAUGCAUGAGAACAUGCCCUUAGAUGGGGAAUAACGUUUGGAAACGAACGCUAAUACCGCAUAAUCUCGAGAGAGUAAAGGUGGCGCCGCAAGGGCUACCGUCUAAGGAUUGGCUCAUGUCCCAUUAGCUAGUUGGCGGGGUAAUGGCCCACCAAGGCAACGAUGGGUAUGUGGUCUGAGAGGAUGAUCACACACACUGGAACUGAGACACGGUCCAGACUCCUACGGGAGGCAGCAGUAGGGAAUAUUGCACAAUGGGGGAAACCCUGAUGCAGCAACGCCGCGUGAGUGAAGAAGGCCCUUGGGUCGUAAAGCUCUUUAGCGAGGGAAGAGGGUAGAUACGGUGAAUAAUCGUGUUUGCUGACGGUACCUCGAGAAUAAGCACCGGCUAAUUUCGUGCCAGCCGCCGCGGUAA